Sapajus apella (tufted capuchin) is the source of this 207-nucleotide long non-coding RNA. RefSeq lists it as uncharacterized. The record is from RefSeq and is a predicted model, not a curated record. NCBI's taxonomy places the organism in Eukaryota, Metazoa, Chordata, Mammalia, Primates, Cebidae. The transcript has 3 exons.
UGUCUAGAGGGAAAUUUUUAGCACUAAAUGCCCAUAUAAGAAGGUGGGAAAGAUCUAAAACCGACACCCUAACAUUACAAUUAAUAGAACUAGAGAAGCAAGAGCAAACAAACUAAAAACCUAGCAGGAGACAAGAAAUAACUAAGAUCAGAGCAGAACUGAAGGAGAUGGUGACACAAAAAACCCUUCAAACAAUCAAUGAAUCCA